RNAcentral lists this ribosomal RNA (445 nucleotides) under uncultured bacterium. RNAcentral's name for it is "bacterial SSU rRNA". It matches the Rfam family "Bacterial small subunit ribosomal RNA", at positions 330 to 792 of the family's 1533-position model. The record is from RNAcentral.
ACCAGACUCCUACGGGAGGCAGCAGUGGGGAAUAUUGCACAAUGGGGGAAACCCUGAUGCAGCGACGCCGCGUGAGCGAUGAAGUAUUUCGGUAUGUAAAGCUCUAUCAGCAGGGAAGAAGAUGACGGUACCUGACUAAGAAGCCCCGGCUAACUACGUGCCAGCAGCCGCGGUAAUACGUAGGGGGCAAGCGUUAUCCGGAUUUACUGGGUGUAAAGGGAGCGUAGACGGCGAUGCAAGCCAGAUGUGAAAGCCCGGGGCUCAACCCCGGGACUGCAUUUGGAACUGCGUGGCUGGAGUGCAGGAGGGGCAGGCGGAAUUCCUAGUGUAGCGGUGAAAUGCGUAGAUAUUAGGAGGAACACCAGUGGCGAAGGCGGCCUGCUGGACGAUGACUGACGUUGAGGCUCGAAAGCGUGGGGAGCAAACAGGAUUAGAUACCCGAGUA